ACUCAAUAGAUACCCGGGUAGUCCACGCCCUAAACGAUGUCUACUAGUUGUUGGUGGAGUAAAAUCCAUGAGUAAACGCAGCUAAACGCGUGAAGUAGACCGCCUGGGGAGUACGGUCGCAAGAUUAAAACUCAAAGGAAUUGACGGGGGCCCGCACAAGCGGUGGAUUAUGUGGAUUAAAUUCGAUGCAACGCGAAAAACCUUACCUGGCCUUGACAUGCCACUAACGAAGCAGAGAUGCAUUAGGUGCCCGUAAGGGAAAGUGGACACAGGUGCUGCAUGGCUGUCGUUAGCUCGUGUCGUGAGAUGUUGGGUUAAGUCCCGCAACGAGCGCAACCCUUGCCAUUAAUUGCCAUCAUUUAGUUGGGCACUUUAAUGGGACUGCCGGUGACAAACCGGAGGAA
RNAcentral lists this ribosomal RNA (404 nucleotides) under uncultured bacterium. Its description in RNAcentral is "bacterial SSU rRNA". It matches the Rfam family "Bacterial small subunit ribosomal RNA", at positions 772 to 1171 of the family's 1533-position model. The record is from RNAcentral.